Molecule: long non-coding RNA, 989 nt
Organism: Drosophila novamexicana
Lineage: Eukaryota; Metazoa; Arthropoda; Insecta; Diptera; Drosophilidae
Exons: 3
Source: RefSeq, a predicted model, not a curated record
UGUAUAUUAGCACACAUUCAAACUUAAUUGCUUGCACGGCUGUCAUAGAGCCGAAGCUGAGAGUAUAUUAAAUUUUAGCUUUAUCGUUCUCAGAUUGGAACGUUGUUUUUGUUGACUUUUCCCGCAUUCCAUAUGUUUCUAACUUCGAUAAGUUCAUGAAUCACAUUUGAUAGCAGCAACCGCACUAUUUCCAGCAUCAGAACGGUAUUUAAAGGCAAGAACAAUGCAGUUCAUGCCAAGUUUCAUUUUGUGUUGUGAAUUAAAAAAAUUCCUUUAAAAGCUUCAAAAUAAAGUAUACGUCCGACCAAUAUGUUGAAAAAUUGCAAGCUGUUUGCGAUUUUAAUAGCUUUCUUGCCUGUGGCCUGGACAACAGAAUGUUCGACUGAGAAUAAAUCAGUGGAACAAUGUGGCGCAUAUGCAUUUCGGAUCGUAAGCCCAAUGCUUGAGCAUUUUGCAGAGGUUAAAAAUGAAAUCGAAAUGAAAAACAAGAAAGUAGCUGAAUUGAAACAAGUUGCCGAAGCUAAUACAAUAACUCUCAAAAACAAUGAUCAACAAUUAGCAAAACUAAAUGACAAAUCUGUAAUAUGUGAAACGGAGUUGCAGAAUUUAACAAUCCAAAGCUCAAAUUUAAAAGAUAGUUUUAAUAUUAAAGAGGCAGAGGUCUUCCAAGCACAGUCAAACAUAAUCAUUAUACAAGUUGAUUUCAAUUGGCAAUUACAGUGGAAAUGCCGGCAAUUCCAUGAAAUCCCACCAAGGAAGUAAUUUUUCAACCUACGAUAGCGAUAAUGAUGAUUCUAAAAACGGGAAAUGUGCUUCGAUAGUUAAAGCAACCUAAACGGUAAAAGGUUCGACUUUAACGUCGAAGACACGAACGAGUUAAAAGGAUGCAUUUACUGGCAGCAUUGGCAUGGCCGGAGUCACUCCUUAAAAUAUGUCCAAAUGAUGAUACGCCAAUUUGAAUAUAAUUAAUCUAUAUAUCUUAAUUAACA